ACGGAGGAUCCAAGCGUUAUCCGGAUUUAUUGGGUUUAAAGGGUGCGUAGGCGGUUUAAUAAGUCAGUGGUGAAAUCUUGCAGCUUAACUGUAAAAUUGCCAUUGAUACUGCUAGACUUGAGUAUAGUUGAGGUGGGCGGAAUGUGUUGUGUAGCGGUGAAAUGCAUAGAUAUAACACAGAACACCAAUUGCGAAGGCAGCUCACUAAGCUAUAACUGACGCUGAGGCACGAAAGCGUGGGUAGCGAACAG
Molecule: ribosomal RNA, 251 nt
Filed under: uncultured prokaryote
Description: partial 16S rRNA
Rfam family: Bacterial small subunit ribosomal RNA
Source: RNAcentral